RNAcentral lists this ribosomal RNA (494 nucleotides) under uncultured bacterium. RNAcentral describes it as "partial 16S ribosomal RNA". It matches the Rfam family "Bacterial small subunit ribosomal RNA", at positions 28 to 507 of the family's 1533-position model. The record is from RNAcentral.
GACGAACGCUGGCGGCGCGCUUAACACAUGCAAGUCGAACGGAAAGGCCUGCUUUCCCUUGUGGAUUGCGGGUACUCGAGUGGCGAACGGGUGAGUAACACGUGAGUGAUCUGCCCCCAACUUGGGUAUAAGCCUGGGAAACUGGGUCUAAUUCCCGAUAGGACUGCAGGGUGGUGCCUGUGGUGGAAAACGAUUUUCUAGUGGUUGGGGAUGAGCUCGCGGCCUAUCAGCUUGUUGGUGGGGUAAUGGCCUACCAAGGCGGCGACGGGUAGCCGGCCUGAGAGGGUGGACGGCCACAUUGGGACUGAGAUACGGCCCGGACUCCUACGGGAGGCAGCAGUGGGGAAGAUUGCACAAUGGGCGGAAGCCUGAUGCAGCGACGCCGCGUGGGGGAUGACGGCCUUCGGGUUGUAAACUCCUUUCGACCGCGAGGAAGCCACCUGGUUGGAAGGGUGGUGACGGUAGUGGUAGAAGAAGCACCGGCUAACUACGUG